This 74-nucleotide transfer RNA is filed under the name Nanobdella aerobiophila. RNAcentral describes it as "tRNA-Lys". It matches the Rfam family "tRNA". From Rfam's summary of the family: Transfer RNA (tRNA) molecules are approximately 80 nucleotides in length. Their secondary structure includes four short double-helical elements and three loops (D, anti-codon, and T loops). Further hydrogen bonds mediate the characteristic L-shaped molecular structure. tRNAs have two regions of fundamental functional importance: the anti-codon, which is responsible for specific mRNA codon recognition, and the 3' end, to which the tRNAs corresponding amino acid is attached (by aminoacyl-tRNA synthetases). tRNAs cope with the degeneracy of the genetic code in two manners: having more than one tRNA (with a specific anti-codon) for a particular amino acid; and 'wobble' base-pairing, i.e. permitting non-standard base-pairing at the 3rd anti-codon position. The record is from RNAcentral. Lineage: Archaea; Nanobdellati; Nanobdellota; Nanobdellia; Nanobdellales; Nanobdellaceae.
GGGUCCGUAGCUCAGCAUGGUAGAGCGUCGGGCUUUUAACCCGAAGGUCGGGGGUUCGAAACCCCCCGGGCCCG